Molecule: small nucleolar RNA, 134 nt
Organism: Cervus hanglu yarkandensis (Yarkand deer)
Lineage: Eukaryota; Metazoa; Chordata; Mammalia; Artiodactyla; Cervidae
Gene: SNORA70
Rfam family: Small nucleolar RNA SNORA70
About the family: snoRNA U70 seems to be exclusive to mammals and is a member of the H/ACA class of snoRNA which contain H (ANANNA) and ACA box motifs. H/ACA box snoRNAs are involved in the conversion of uridines to pseudouridines (5-ribosyluracil) a constituent of structural RNAs (transfer, ribosomal, small nuclear, and small nucleolar).
Source: Ensembl
UUGCAACCAGUUAAGCCAACUGACCUCUUUUCCCCAUGGUGGCCCAUGUGCAAUGGCUGCAAAGAGCAGCUUCCUUGGUGGUGUAUGCAGACUGUGAUAUGUAGGGAGAGCUCUAAGAGACCUUGGAGACAGUC